UGGCCACAGCCAGCCAGGAGCUUGUCAUCAACAGGGGCUGGGAGGUGCAACUCCCAGAGGUCAGCCUCCUGCAGCUGAAGCCUGGAGGAAAAUGGACUAGAGCGGGGGCAGGAGCUCAUGGAGAACAGCCAGCACAGUAAGAGCAAAAUCAACACAUCUCUGCCUUUUCCUUUUAAGGAGGAAGCCAGACAAUGGCUCUACCCAACAAAAACAAAUAUGCCACACAAAGCCAAAAAAGCAUUAUGCACAACAACACAGCAGUGAGUGCUGUGCAGGAAGAGAGCAGGGAGAGAAUUAGAAGUCGAAGAGGACCCGUGUUUUUGUUUUUGCCUGGCCCAUGGCAUGUGGAAUUUCCCAGGCCAGGGUUUUAUCCCGUGCCACAGCAGUAACCAGAGCCACAGCAGUGCCAAGGCCGGCUCCUUAACCCACUGAGCCACCAGGGAACUCCAGCGCACCUGUUUUAAGCAGACUGAUGGGAGGAUUCUGAGGAGGUGACAUCCUGCAAGGUGUGCAUUAGGUGAGGGACUGGGCACUGCUCCCCAUUCAAGGGCCUGGCAGCCUGGUUCCAGAGGGUAGUGAGAACCUCACUGGGGAAGAGUGAGGUUGACCCAGAGAAGGCAGCUCCUCAGAGCACCUGCAUAUUUGAGGGCAGAGCCAGCCCAGGCAUGUCUCCCCAUUCCCUGUGCCAUGCAGACACUGGCUCACAAAGCAGAGGGGCCACAGCCGGGUGCCUAGGAUCCCUGAAGUCAGGGGAGCCCAGAGCCCUUUUCCUCCCAACCCCCAGUUCGUCCUAGAAGACUGGCUCACAACCAUGGCAACAGAUUCCAUGUGAAGGAGGUGAAGGCAGAUUUUUGGGGCUCACUCAGCGGGAGAUGAGUGCUGGAAGAGAAGGCUGCUCUCCCCCAGUGCUAGGCGGUGACCCAGAAAAUUCUUCAGAAUCCUGUGGUUUCUCCCCAAGCCUGUGAAGAGAGUGGCAGCUGGUAGCCAGGUGGCCAAGCACCCACGCACGGCUGUGGCCUUACUCCACGCUGGCCUUGGGUGUGUGUAUGUGUGUGUGUGUGUGUGUGUGUGUGUGUGGCUGGAGUUGGCUAUAAUUGGGGAGAGUCAGAAUCUACCUCCCCCACAUACAUACACAGUCUCUCUCUCUCUCUCUCUCUCUCUCUCUCUCUCUCUCAUACACACACACAUACACACACACACACACACACACACACUCCUGGAAGCACAAGGGUCCAUGAACUCAUGCAACAGCAACGCUGAACUGAGAGCACUGGCACCUGCCAUGGGCAGCCCUCUCCUGACCUUGCCUGCUUUCUAUGGUAUCCACCUUCAAGGACAGACGGCAUGAGAGUCAGGGAAUGUUAUGGACUGAGUUGUGUCCAUCCAUGUCCAUACUUGUGACUUUAUUUGGAGACGGGGCAUAUGGGAAGGUAAAUGGAGGUUAAGUGAGGUCAUAGAUAUGACACGCUAAUCCUACAGGACUGUCUUUAAGAAGAGGAAGAGAUAGCAGAGAUUUCUCUCUCCCUGCCAGCACACGGAGGAGAAGUCACCUGAAGACACUGGGAGAAGGUGGCCAUCAACAAGCCAGGAAGAGCCCUGGCCAGGACUCGAUUUGCCAGCACCUUGAUCUUGGAUGUCUAGUCUCAGGAACUGUGAGAAAAUAAAUGUCUGUUGUUCAAGUCA
RNAcentral lists this long non-coding RNA (1683 nucleotides) under Sus scrofa (pig). RNAcentral's name for it is "lncRNA (ENSSSCG00050064490.1)". Lineage: Eukaryota; Metazoa; Chordata; Mammalia; Artiodactyla; Suidae. The record is from RNAcentral.